Small nuclear RNA from Rattus norvegicus (Norway rat), 105 nucleotides. Lineage: Eukaryota; Metazoa; Chordata; Mammalia; Rodentia; Muridae. The record is from Ensembl.
AUCUGAUUGGGCAGCACGUAUACUAGAAUUGGAACCAUCCUGAGAAGAUCAUCAUGGCCCCUGCACAAGGAAGCCAUGCAAAUAUGUGAACGUUCAAAUGCAUCU